GGAGGGGGCUAGCGUUGUCCGAAGUUACUGGGCGUAAAGCGCGCGUAGGCGGGUUGGUAAGUCCGCUGUGAAAGCCCGGAGCUUAACUCCGGAGGGUCGGUGGAUACUGCCAGUCUUGAAGGUGCUAGGGGGAGAUGGAAUUACCGGUGUAGCGGUGAAAUGCGUAGAUAUCGGUAGGAACACCAGUGGCGAAGGCGGUCUCCUGGGGCAUUCUUGACGCUGAGGCGCGAAAGCUGGGGGAGCAAACGGG
Molecule: ribosomal RNA, 250 nt
Filed under: uncultured bacterium
Lineage: Bacteria
Description: partial 16S ribosomal RNA
Rfam family: Bacterial small subunit ribosomal RNA
Source: RNAcentral